UUUAAAUUGACAAACAGCUAGUCGUCGAGAAAGAUCGGAAGUGUUCUCUGUUUUGUGCUUAUCCUCAUGUUUCUCUGAAUAUCAUGUUUCUGAAUAUUUACAUGUUACUGGUGGCGUGAGGAAAAUAAGUGGUAUUUCGACAAGAAUUUCGACCAGCUGAAAAGGACUGUGGAAUCUGAAACAGAAUGGGUGGCGGAGACUGAUGGGAAAGAGCCUUCUUUUCGUAGUUUUCGGGGAUGUCUAGGCGGCGUAUCUCUGGCAGAAGGACGUUUUGUGCAGGGUGGAACAGUCACCUUUUUCAAUUGCGGCUCAGAGGGGUACUUCGCUAGCGGAUGUGCCGCAGACCUGCAAGGAACCACCUUCAUGGGCAUCGGGCGUGGCCGAGGAGUUACCAUACCGGUGGCAGCAACAGCCUCUCCACGGACGCAACUGUUCGUUCCAGCCAAUGGCGGACAGUGAUUAUGAUAAGUACUGGUUAUUAUCAAAAAAAAUGUUUGAAAUAGACUGAAUUGCAGAUUAUUUUUUUUCUGAAUAUUUUGAAAACUCGGUUGAUAUUUCACAACAUUCUGGAAAGAUACUUUAAAGGCUGAUGAUGAAAUUUUGUCUUUAUAGAAAAUGUAUAAGUCUUAUCUAUCAUUAUCAAACCACUAAGUUUUAUCAUGAAAAACAAUCAAUCAACAUUACGAAAUAAUGAGUUUUGUAUUUUUAGUAAUUCAUGAUUUGAUUCCGAAAAAGUGUGCUUAUAAAGUACCUUUCAUUCCACAUAAUGUCAAUGCGUGUGAUAUAUUUUAUUGAAAGGUGUAUUUUGAAAUGUAUGAGAGCGAAGAUAUAAAUUUGAUAAUAUUUCCCGCCCAUCCCAUCCCUAUUUUUAGGUUGAUUUUCCUGUUACAUGUGCUCUAUUAACAUGCAUAUUUAUUUUCAUUUACAGAAUUCCACUGUUUGAUUGCCUAACGUAUGUCAGUAACGUAUUUGUUACUUUUAUGAUUUAAGAUUUACUGUAUGUUUAGUUUCGUUCCAUUUGUUUCAUGAUGUUUUCUAAGAUACCAGUCAUUAUUGAUGUUGCUGACUCUUAAGGACGGACGUGGCCACGAUUUACCAAGGUUACGAUCCAGAUGUGCUCAGACGCUAUAACCAAUCUUCCAGCAUCCGAAUACUGCCUUUUCCUGUGUACAUGUUCACCAAAUACAUUGCCAAUUCCUAAA
This is a long non-coding RNA of Mya arenaria, 1202 nucleotides long. RefSeq lists it as uncharacterized. The transcript has 2 exons. The record is from RefSeq and is a predicted model, not a curated record. NCBI's taxonomy places the organism in Eukaryota, Metazoa, Mollusca, Bivalvia, Myida, Myidae.